UUNNNUCCUGGCUCAGAUUGAACGCUAGCGGGAUGCCUUACACAUGCAAGUCGAACGGCAGCACGGACUUCGGUCUGGUGGCGAGUGGCGAACGGGUGAGUAAUGUAUCGGAACGUGCCUAGUAGCGGGGGAUAACUACGCGAAAGCGUAGCUAAUACCGCAUACGCCCUACGGGGGAAAGCAGGGGAUCGCAAGACCUUGCACUAUUAGAGCGGCCGAUAUCGGAUUAGCUAGUUGGUGGGGUAACGGCUCACCAAGGCGACGAUCCGUAGCUGGUUUGAGAGGACGACCAGCCACACUGGGACUGAGACACGGCCCAGACUCCUACGGGAGGCAGCAGUGGGGAAUUUUGGACAAUGGGGGAAACCCUGAUCCAGCCAUCCCGCGUGUGCGAUGAAGGCCUUCGGGUUGUAAAGCACUUUUGGCAGGAAAGAAACGUCAUGGGCUAAUACCCCGUGAAACUGACGGUACCUGCAGAAUAAGCACCGGCUAACUACGUGCCAGCAGCCGCGGUAAUACGUAGGGUGCAAGCGUUAAUCGGAAUUACUGGGCGUAAAGCGUGCGCAGGCGGUUCGGAAAGAAAGAUGUGAAAUCCCAGAGCUUAACUUUGGAACUGCAUUUUUAACUACCGAGCUAGAGUGUGUCAGAGGGAGGUGGAAUUCCGCGUGUAGCAGUGAAAUGCGUAGAUAUGCGGAGGAACACCGAUGGCGAAGGCAGCCUCCUGGGAUAAC
RNAcentral lists this ribosomal RNA (731 nucleotides) under Achromobacter spanius. RNAcentral describes it as "bacterial SSU rRNA". It matches the Rfam family "Bacterial small subunit ribosomal RNA", at positions 12 to 738 of the family's 1533-position model. The record is from RNAcentral. Lineage: Bacteria; Pseudomonadati; Pseudomonadota; Betaproteobacteria; Burkholderiales; Alcaligenaceae.